RNAcentral lists this ribosomal RNA (465 nucleotides) under uncultured bacterium. RNAcentral's name for it is "partial 16S ribosomal RNA". It matches the Rfam family "Bacterial small subunit ribosomal RNA", at positions 338 to 795 of the family's 1533-position model. The record is from RNAcentral.
CCUACGGGGGGCAGCAGUAGGGAAUCUUCCACAAUGGGCGAAAGCCUGAUGGAGCAACGCCGCGUGGGUGAAGAAGGUCUUCGGAUCGUAAAACCCUGUUGUUAGAGAAGAAAGUGCGUGAGAGUAACUGUUCACGUUUCGACGGUAUCUAACCAGAAAGCCACGGCUAACUACGUGCCAGCAGCCGCGGUAAUACGUAGGUGGCAAGCGUUAUCCGGAUUUAUUGGGCGUAAAGGGAACGCAGGCGGUCUGUUAAGUCUGAUGUGAAAGGCUUCGGCUUAACCGGAGUAGUGCAUUGGAAACUGGGAGACUUGAGUGCAGAAGAGGAGAGUGGAACUCAAUGUGUAGCGGUGAAAUGCGUAGAGAUAUGGAAGAACACCAGUGGCGAAGGCGGCUCUCUGGUCUGUAACUGACGCUGAGGUUCGAAAGCGUGGGUAGCAAACAGGAUUAGAUACCCCAGUAGUC